AUGUUCUCGAACACAUUAACCGAAGCCAUAGCCAAGGCUAUUUAUUCGUCUUUGGUCAAACAUACUUCUAAACAAAUAGUAGGAUACCCCUGAAUAAGCUAUUAGAAAGAGAUGGAGAAGAAAAUUGAAUUAUGUUGAAGAAAAAUGGGAGCUUUUGGCCGGACGAAGUUGUAGAGACCUCCGAACAAGAAGAAGACGACUUUUGUUUAAAAGAUAAUUGUUUUUUAUUCUGAUUUUCUUUCUUGGAAACAGAAAAGGGGUUGCAUUCCAUAUGGGUCACAAACCUUGUGAAUAUUUUAUUUAUU
RNAcentral lists this long non-coding RNA (305 nucleotides) under Helianthus annuus (common sunflower). RNAcentral's name for it is "sRNA HanXRQr2_Chr01g0019451". The record is from RNAcentral. Lineage: Eukaryota; Viridiplantae; Streptophyta; Magnoliopsida; Asterales; Asteraceae.